AUUGCGCCUCCCGCCACCGGAAGUCUGAGAAGGGCAUGAGGCGACGGCGCGAGGGCGGCUGUUAAGCUCCCGCUGCCUGGGGCGGUGAGGCCUCAAAAGUUUCACCUCCAGACCUUAAAUAUCACUUUGGAAAUUUCCAUCCAGCAUGUAAGCGGAGGAGGGGUGCUACCUCACAGGAGCUCUGCUGAACUGUGUUGAGUUCUGUUACAAGCUGCAGAGGAGACUACAGAACAGGAGAGGAACAAACACUGCUAUUUAUGCUAGUACAUCACACUGGAAAACUGCAUUCUGAGAACAGGUAAAUGCUUAGAAGUGGAGUGAGUGUUAGCCAGUGCUGAAGUCCACCCCCUAAGGUAAAAACAUCAAAAUUUAAACACAAGCCCACCCAAAUUUCAGAAGUAAGUUUAAAUGUUCUGACUAAACCCAUUUGUGAAUCUAUCGUUCAGUGAUGUUCUGUGUUAGUAUUACAACUCUACAGCAGAAGUACAAAGAGUCUUAAAUCAUGCCCAUUUUUUUUAAAAUGCUGUUAUUCAAAGCUACUUGUCUUUACACAAAAGUAAAGCAAAACUUGGCAGACAAAUCUAAAUUGACUUCUAUCCCAUUAGUGCUCUGACACAAUGUGAAGGAAUGCAGAUUGCAUAUGUCUGCAUCACACAUCACAUCAAAGGC
Long non-coding RNA from Numida meleagris (helmeted guineafowl), 669 nucleotides. RefSeq lists it as uncharacterized. The record is from RefSeq and is a predicted model, not a curated record. Lineage: Eukaryota; Metazoa; Chordata; Aves; Galliformes; Numididae. The transcript is spliced from 4 exons.